GAAACUUCCGGUUCUAACGGCUUGGGGCUUAUGCUGACGGAGCGGAGGCAGCAGGGUCAGGAUGGUGCUGCUGGAGAGUGAGCAGUUCCUGACGGAGCUGACCAGGCUCUUCCAGAAGUGCCGGUUGUCGGGCAGCGUGUUCAUCACCCUGAAGAAGUGUAAGCAGCUGUGGAUGCAGCAAGGCCGGAAGGGAGCUGGGAGGCCGAGCGAUGCCCCGGCCCGGGUGCCCAGUGACUGGGAGCCACAGGCAGAGUCUGUCUGCCGCGUAUCCCCGCCUUCCCGUACCUUCCUCCACCUGAUGAUGGUCGAACUAAACCCAUUCCAAGGAAGGGUUCUGUGGAGGGCUUUGAGCCCUCAGACAACAAGUGUCUGUUAAGAGCUACUGACGGGAAAAAGAAGAUCAGCACUGUGGUGAGUUGGAUUCCUAAUACUCCUAAUUUUGGAGUUUAAAGACUUGAAUUUAACUUGAGGGGUAUAUCUGAACCAGUUUUUUUUUUGUUUUGUUUUGUUUUUAAGUUAUUAAAUAAAGCCUAGUGUGUAGCUCUCCAGCUGUUUUGGGAUCAGGGUCUUCUUUUAUUACCUUAGUAAUAGAAAACCCAAAAGCAAAAUUAAAACGAAGAAGGUAGAAGCCAAACACUUGUUAGAAAUAAAAUUAGCAUAUUGGUCCUUACUCAGAGUAGCACGGUAAGGAGCAGUUGGCAUAUUUGAUUCCUUAUUCCUUUACUGUGCUGGGCCUUCAGUGAACAGUUUCUUGGUAUCAGAUGCUUUUACUUUUAAGCUGAUUGUUCACUUAUCUUUGUGGUUCAUGUACCAAACAUGUAUUAUAUUAGGCUUUGUAUUUGAGAGCAUAUGAUUUAGUCAAGAGUCCUAGUAUUAUUCCCUUUCAAAGUGGGGGUUGAAUAUGGCCAAGCAAGAGACUGCUUGGAUUCCAAAUGAAUACUUCUUUAUUCUGCUGGGGCAGAACCAGACUGCCCUCUAAUCACAUCAGCAUAGGAUAUUCAUGAGAAUAUAUGCCAUAAUUAGUUGAUGUCUCCCAUUACCAGUUAUCUUGAGAAGACUUUUACAGUAAAGCAAGCUUAUGUGGCUUUUAAAAAUAAAGUUGGGUGCCAUGAAAUACGGAAAACUAAGGAAUCUUCAGAGGUAGAAUUUCUUUUGUUGUGGUAGGUUGCAUUUUGCUUAAAUGCGCCUGAACUAAUGGUAGGUUUAAAAUAAGAUGGGGAGGGAGUACUUUAAAAGUAUCUUGCACAAAAGAUUAAGUCCUUUGACGUCUCUCAGAACCCUGAGAAAAAGUCAGUGCCAUGUGUGUAAGAGAUUUCAACAGAGGCAAGAAGCAUAGCUUCUUGAGGAGCCCACUUCUGCUUCUUUCCCAUCUUGGUACAAUUCUCAAAGUGCAGAGCUACUUUGCUUGUUCCUCAGGCAGAGGAAAGUGGAGUAGAAAAAUAGCUUUUACUGUAUUAUGACCCCUGCAAUUGGAAAGAAAUAUUUUUAGAGAUUAGGAUGUUGUCUUCACGAGGCUUUUGAGUUGCUAUUGGGUGAGGCAGAUGAUUCCUAUGUGGAUAACAGGGGUGACCUUUUCCCCAAUCUUUUCCAGGUGAGCUCCAAAGAAGUGAAUAAGUUUCAGAUGGCUUAUUCAAACCUACUGAGAGCUAACAUGGAUGGGCUGAAGAAGAGGGACAAAAAGAGCAAGAGUAAGAAGAGCAAAGCAGCGCAGUGAAGGGCACCAGAUUCCCGCCUUCACCAGCUAACCACUGAAUUGCUAUUUUUCCUUUGGUUUUUACUUUUGGCCACAAAGCUGGGUUUCUCAUUCCCCUACAAUAACUGUUUUCAUGUGAGAUUAGGGUCAGUUUUGGAUGGAAGAAGGGCUGCAGUGUUUACAGGGUAGUUACAAGAAGCCAGUUUAUUUUAUAUCUGGCUAAGUGGUCUGUGUUGUAUGGUUGUAUGUUUCUGGAUAAUAGUUUACAGUCUCUGUAGCCGUCUGUGAAGAGCACUGUAUCAUUAAACCUGUAUUUAUCAGUA
Balaenoptera ricei (Rice's whale) is the source of this 2016-nucleotide RNA transcript. It is a transcript of the gene named signal recognition particle 14, with no coding region annotated. The transcript is spliced from 4 exons. The record is from RefSeq and is a predicted model, not a curated record. Lineage: Eukaryota; Metazoa; Chordata; Mammalia; Artiodactyla; Balaenopteridae.